Molecule: non-coding RNA, 256 nt
Organism: Pelobates cultripes (western spadefoot toad)
Lineage: Eukaryota; Metazoa; Chordata; Amphibia; Anura; Pelobatidae
Source: the annotation of a GenBank genome assembly
CGCACUAUUGGGUCUCCAAUUAUAUUGAGUUGAGUAUUGAGGGCAGCCUAGUCUAGUCCAGUCGUUUCGUGUUCAUACUUUACAGCUAAAUCUUGACACGUCAAGUGUUGAAAUGAUUGAUGCCACUUGUUCCAAUCCUGACACUGCGUCUCACUCCAAUUACUGGGCACUGAGUCCACCUUGGACCUGCUUUGAAGCUUAGUCUCACUGGCCACUAGCGGAACAUUGGUCACACAAGGGCUCCGUGUCUUAUAAG